This 371-nucleotide unclassified non-coding RNA is filed under the name soil metagenome. RNAcentral's name for it is "partial contains 5.8S ribosomal RNA, internal transcribed spacer 2, and large subunit ribosomal RNA". The stretch from base 1 to 120 matches the Rfam family "5.8S ribosomal RNA", at positions 35 to 154 of the family's 154-position model. The record is from RNAcentral.
GAUGAAGAACGCAGUGAAAUGCGAUAAGUAAUGUGAAUUGCAGAAUUCAGUGAAUCAUCGAAUCUUUGAACGCACAUUGCGCCCCCUGGAAUUCCGGGGGGCAUGCCUGUUCGAGCGUCUCAGGGACGAACCCUCGCGCGGGUGUACGCGCGGUCGUGGCUGCGGUGGCGUGCCCGAGGCGGCGGCCACCGCGCUGGAAUCCAUGGGCGGACGCCUGCCGCGUGGCCGAGCGUGAUAUGACGCAUUGGCGCUCGCACGCGGAGAGGCUGCCAGCCCUGGCCCGUCUGUCGGGCGGGGGAGAGCAAGACACGUGAACUCCUCGAAUCAGGUAGGGAAACCCGCUGAACUUAAGCAUAUCAAUAAGCGGAGGA